UCAGACCUACGGGACGCAGCAGUGAGGAAUAUUGGUCAAUGGGCGGGAGCCUGAACCAGCCAAGCCGCGUGAGGGAAGAAGGUACAGCGUAUCGUAAACCUCUUUUGUCAGGGAACAAAGGCGGGGACUAGUCCCCGGAUGAGGGUACCUGAAGAAAAAGCAUCGGCUAACUCCGUGCCAGCAGCCGCGGCAAUACGGAGGAUGCGAGCGUUAUCCGGAUUUAUUGGGUUUAAAUGGUGCGUAGGCG
RNAcentral lists this ribosomal RNA (247 nucleotides) under uncultured bacterium. Its description in RNAcentral is "partial 16S ribosomal RNA". It matches the Rfam family "Bacterial small subunit ribosomal RNA", at positions 333 to 577 of the family's 1533-position model. The record is from RNAcentral.